CUCCGAUGGCAGCUCUCUCUGCUGCCUACUGCCAAGAAGUAGGUCAAAAACCUAUUUUUGUCUCUAUUCUUCCGCAGCCAGAUUACAGUCCUUGCACCCUUGUGGAGGAGGGGAAGCCGCUGUAUCGUGGCUGUGAGGCCAGACGCACCUGGCACGGUACGGGGAUGAGUAGGGCCACCUCCCCUGGGCUCCCUCUGCUGUCGGUGGCACCUCCCUGCUGGCGGCGGAGGGAACCGGGGGGAACUCAGCGCUAGCAUUACUCUGCGGUUAAGCGGGUAGGGUGAAUUUGGGCCAAAGCACGAGCAGCGUGCCAACCUCAUGCAGGAAGUGUGUAUCCAGGUAGGGUGAAUUUGGGCCAAAGCACAAGCAGCGUGCCAACCUCACGCAGGAAGUGUGUAUCCAACUAGGGCAGAAGGUUUUUGGGUUUGACCCAGAUCCCAGCAGCGUGGUUUGGCCUCGUCACGCUUGUACGGGUGCAGCCACGGAGGUGGCGAACGGGGCAUGCAGCAGGAGCAGCAACUAGGGGGUGAAACACAGGGAUAUGCAUCAUAAGGGCACAUUUGCUACUCCUAGGCUGAUAGCUACCUGUUCCUGCCUCUGUCCCCCAUGGGCUGAUGAUUUUAUCAGCUCUGCUUGCUAAUAUCCUUCUUUCCUCCCCACGUACCAACAACCCUUUUUUCUCAAAUUGUCCAGUUGAUUAACAUAAUUAAGUUAAACUCAGCAACUGUUUUCAACUUGCACUUACUUUGAAGUUAGCUAGAGGACACGUCAGCAAGCUGCCCCAAUUUUCCAGCUGGAAAUUAGAAAAAAAUAAAUAAUAAUAAAUUAAGCCAAAGAUACUAUCUCUCCUUAUAGACUUGCCUCAUUUGUAUCUUUGUCUUGAAUGCCAAACGUUCUUCUCAUUGACUCACCCCACUCCUGUUCACGCAAAGUGAAGAUAGGUACAUGGCUUUUGCCGUUCUGGAUUCCUGUGAGCUUUGGGAGAGGAGCGAUCCUGCUAUCUGGAAGGCUGCGUUUUGCCAGUGGUCUACAAAACACCGUUCUCAAAUGUCCGCACCGUCUGGGGACCUGGCAUCCAGCUUACGGAUGGGGAUUCACCCUGGCAGCAGCCAAGUCCCUGAGGAGAAGGAGGGAUGAAGCAAAGUCUGGAGGCAGUGGUGAGACAAUGAGCUGUAACUCCAGAGAAAUGUCUCCUAAGAGCCAGCCACACUGGGAGAUAAGCAGAGAGAGAUCCCAGGAGAGGAAGGACAUUGGCCAAACAGAGGAAACAAAAGGCAGAAAAGAAGAGGCUGUCUGGAAGUGCAAGUAUCCUGGGUCACAGGAUGUACUGAGCUAUUGUGUAAAGGACAUGCAAAACAGCUUCGCUUUGUCCCAAAGUUUCAGCGACUUCAAGAACUGAAAGAAGAAAAAGAAGAAAACAGCAUAAAGGAAGAGGCUUCCAGUGUGACUUUGUCAGAUCCAGACUCCAUAAAUCCUAGAAGCAGAAGAGGACUGGCAACCAUCCGGCCAUGCUUGCUCUUAUGUUAUUGAAUCAACAACCAUUUCCCUGCCAGCUGGACUGUAGAGCCAUCUGCAAUAUGAUCCCCAAAACCCUGAUAAGCAGAAAAAUUAGGCUGCAAUGAUAUAGCAAAACCAUUCUGAGGGCAGUAGGGAAAUGCAGGCUAGUGAUAAUAGACUCACAGAACAGGUAAUGUUAGCACCUGGGCUUUAUAAAAGUAACUGUCACACAGCAGUGCCACCCACACACGGCAGUGCAGAGUAGAGUAAGGCAUGGACAUGACCUUGGCAUAACACUAGAAUAUGCUCCGCUUCAGCAAGGGGGACUGUCCUCCCUUGUCUGGUAGACAAAGCCUCUUCUGCAGAGGUGGGUGGAUUCAGGGCUAAUUUUGUUUAGUCUUGAUGGAGUCAUUAAAUAAUGAACAGGCAAGCCUUCAAAGAAGAGGCAUUAAUACACCUAUAAAAACAGCACAGAAUGGAUCAACAGCCACAUCAAGGAAGGAAAGAACAUCCAAGAAAAGUGAAGAACGGCUUAUCUAAAUGGCGGAACCACUUAGCUGAGCACUGGAAAGAAGUUUCUCACCAUUAUCAGUGCUUCAGGACAGGCCAGCUCAUCUACCCGAAGUGAAAGUAUCCUGCGGGGGCCUGCGGCUAGGGCAUGGCCAGCAGUUUCGGGGGAGCAGGCUUUCUUAAAGACAAGCAAGGAAGAACUGUGCUCAAAAGCCUGAACAUUUAUCUUCCACAGUUUCAGAACCCUCCUUCAGCUUCCUGCUUUCAUUCUUGGGAUAGAGAGAUGCUGAAAGAUGCAUAAAAUAUCUUAGGGUAUUAAGCCAAUACAAAUCAAAAUGGAUCAAAGCCGGGAGCUGCUGUGUGUAGCACAGAACACUGCACUGACAAUUAAA
Struthio camelus australis is the source of this 2399-nucleotide long non-coding RNA. NCBI's taxonomy places the organism in Eukaryota, Metazoa, Chordata, Aves, Struthioniformes, Struthionidae. The record is from Ensembl.